Molecule: ribosomal RNA, 427 nt
Filed under: Pseudomonas cedrina subsp. fulgida
Lineage: Bacteria; Pseudomonadati; Pseudomonadota; Gammaproteobacteria; Pseudomonadales; Pseudomonadaceae
Description: bacterial SSU rRNA
Rfam family: Bacterial small subunit ribosomal RNA
Source: RNAcentral
AGCUAGUUGGUGAGGUAAUGGCUCACCAAGGCGACGAUCCGUAACUGGUCUGAGAGGAUGAUCAGUCACACUGGAACUGAGACACGGUCCAGACUCCUACGGGAGGCAGCAGUGGGGAAUAUUGGACAAUGGGCGAAAGCCUGAUCCAGCCAUGCCGCGUGUGUGAAGAAGGUCUUCGGAUUGUAAAGCACUUUAAGUUGGGAGGAAGGGUUGUAGAUUAAUACUCUGCAAUUUUGACGUUACCGACAGAAUAAGCACCGGCUAACUCUGUGCCAGCAGCCGCGGUAAUACAGAGGGUGCAAGCGUUAAUCGGAAUUACUGGGCGUAAAGCGCGCGUAGGUGGUUUGUUAAGUUGGAUGUGAUAUCCCCGGGCUCAACCUGGGAACUGCAUUCAAAACUGACUGACUAGAGUAUGGUAGAGGGUGGU